GGCUGGUCUGAGUGCAGUAGUUUUACAGCGAAUUGAUCACUAUCAGUUAACAUUUCUUUGUUCCUUCUCUACUUCCACUACUUCAUUUGACUAGCCUUAA
This is a Y RNA of Papio anubis (olive baboon), 100 nucleotides long. It matches the Rfam family "Y RNA". Rfam says of the family: Y RNAs are components of the Ro ribonucleoprotein particle (Ro RNP), in association with Ro60 and La proteins. The Y RNAs and Ro60 and La proteins are well conserved, but the function of the Ro RNP is not known. In humans the RNA component can be one of four small RNAs -- hY1, hY3, hY4 and hY5. NCBI's taxonomy places the organism in Eukaryota, Metazoa, Chordata, Mammalia, Primates, Cercopithecidae. The record is from Ensembl.